RNAcentral lists this ribosomal RNA (425 nucleotides) under uncultured bacterium. Its description in RNAcentral is "bacterial SSU rRNA". It matches the Rfam family "Bacterial small subunit ribosomal RNA", at positions 355 to 776 of the family's 1533-position model. The record is from RNAcentral.
UGAGGAAUCUUGGUCAAUGGACGGAAGUCUGAACCAGCCAUGUCGCGUGAAGGAGGACGGCCCUAAGGGUUGUAAACUUCUUUUGCAGGGGAAUAAAGUAUUCCACGAGAUGGGAUAUUGCAAGUACGCUGCGAAUAAGGAUCGGCUAACUCCGUGCCAGCAGCCGCGGUAAUACGGAGGAUCCGAGCGUUAUCCGGAUUUAUUGGGUUUAAAGGGUGCGCAGGCGGGAAGUUAGGUCGGCGGUGAAAUUUCGGGGCUCAACCCCGAGAGUGCCGUUGAAACCGGUUUUCUUGAGUGCGGAUGAGGUAGGCGGAAUUUGUGGUGUAGCGGUGAAAUGCGUAGAUAUCACAAGGAACACCGAUUGCGGAGGCAGCUUACUAAACCGUUACUGACGCUCAUGCACGAAGGCGUGGGGAUCAAACAGG